CAGUAGCCGCGGGAAUACAGAGGGUGCGAGCGUUAAUCGGAUUUACUGGGCGUAAAGCGUGCGUAGGCGGCUUCUUAAGUCGGAUGUGAAAUCCCUGAGCUUAACUUAGGAAUUGCAUUCGAUACUGGGAAGCUAGAGUAUGAGAGAGGAUGGUAGAAUUCCAGGUGUAGCGGUGAAAUGCGUAGAGAUCUGGAGGAAUACCGAUGGCGAAGGCAGCCAUCUGGCCUAAUACUGACGCUGAGGUACGAAAGCAUGGGGAGCAAACAGGAUUAGAUACCCCCGUAGUCCCUGUCUCUUAUAC
This 301-nucleotide ribosomal RNA is filed under the name uncultured bacterium. RNAcentral's name for it is "partial 16S ribosomal RNA". It matches the Rfam family "Bacterial small subunit ribosomal RNA", at positions 509 to 807 of the family's 1533-position model. The record is from RNAcentral.